CACACACACACAUGCACACACGCACGCACGCACGCACGCACGCACGCACACGGACGCACGCACUAAAUUAAUACAUAAAUUAACUAAUAAUAAUUUUAAAAUGCUUUCCCCAGGUAAUUGUGAUUAUGGGGCCUUAAAGCAAAAUUGUACAUUUUUGUCUUUUGAGUACUAAUGAAAAACAAUUAAACUACAUGGCAAUUUUAUAUUUUUGGUCAUAUAUCUAUAUAAAUAUGUUCAUAAAAAGGACAUAUUUUUCGGUCCGUGUACGGAUCUGGUAAUUGGAUUUUCCGUUCUGAAACGGGUAUUGGAAAAACAAAAAACGAGUGGUUAUUUGAUUUUCGUUUUAAAAUACAAAAAUUAAAAUUGAAAUACAAGGCGUUUUUCCUUUUCAUGAUCAAAAAGGGAUAUACGAUUUUUUUUUUUAAAUGCUUUGAUUUUCGUUUUAUAUUUAGAAUAACAAGAAAGUAAAAUCAGUAAGAGACAGAAACGAAAAAAGGUCCGUUUUUUCAUUUUUUGAGACCGGAAGUGGUCAUCAGCAAGUGUGGAGCCAAACGACAACAAGAUUCUCAGAGGGCGGAGCCAGAGAGCAGUCAUUGGUCAGACCAUAGAUAAUAUAGAAGACAGCGCGCUAGCAUGUCUAGUCUGUGUGUAUCUAUGGUCGGCACGUCUGGUAGCAUCUCUGGCUGCUGUUGAUCUUGUUUUUGGAGUAAAACACGGUGGAAGCUGAAUUAGUGAGGAUGACUCCUGCUCCUGUCAUCUCUAAGCUCCUCACACAUCUUUACCUGCACAUGAGGAAAAUCACUCCUGUAGAAUGCAGGUAUGUUUGUCAUUAUUCUAAAAAGAUGUUGCCUGGUGACCUGUCAGAAACCCAUUAUACAGAGUCAGCCAAAAUAAUGUUUACACACAUCAGGAAAAGAAAAACUUGCAUAAAUAUUUCAAUACCAAAUUUAUUCAGACAUCACGAGAUUAAUAAAAGUUAUCUUUGGCCUCUACAAUUACAAGAGGUGUUCAAAGUGGUGGCCACUGGCUUCCAGACAUUUCUGUUGUGUUGUAGACGUCACUUGUUGAUGCUCCAUUCAUGAGGGUAGCGCCAUCUGUUGGGAAAACAUCGUACAACAGGACACAGUUAUCGUGAUUUGAUCAAACUUAGAAAGAGGAAUCUAUAUGUAUAGAAGUACUUAUACAAAUGAAAUAUUUAUAAAA
Long non-coding RNA from Amphiprion ocellaris (clown anemonefish), 1203 nucleotides. RefSeq lists it as uncharacterized. The record is from RefSeq and is a predicted model, not a curated record. NCBI's taxonomy places the organism in Eukaryota, Metazoa, Chordata, Actinopteri, Pomacentridae. The transcript is spliced from 2 exons.